Molecule: ribosomal RNA, 515 nt
Filed under: uncultured bacterium
Lineage: Bacteria
Description: bacterial SSU rRNA
Rfam family: Bacterial small subunit ribosomal RNA
Source: RNAcentral
AGAGUUUGAUCCUGGCUCAGGAUGAACGCUGGCGGCGUGCUUAAUACAUGCAAGUCGAGCGUCGAAAGGAGAAGGGGUAACCCUUCUCCCUGAAAGCGGCGAACGGGUGAGUAACACGUGGGCAACGUUCCCCAAACUCCGGGAUAACAACGGGAAACCGUUGCUAAUACCGGAUGAUCCCUGCGCACCGCAUGGCGCGCGGGGCAAAGCUCCGGCGGUUUGGGAUCGGCCCGCGGCCUAUCAGCUUGUUGGUGGGGUAACGGCCUACCAAGGCGAUGACGGGUAGCUGACGUGAGAGCGUGAUCAGCCACACUGGGACUGAGACACGGCCCAGACUCCUACGGGAGGCAGCAGUAGGGAAUCUUGCUCAAUGGGCGCAAGCCUGAAGCAGCGACGCCGCGUGAGGGAUGAAUGCCUUCGGGUUGUAAACCUCUUUCAGCGGGGACGAAGCCGCAAGGUGACGGUACCCGCAGAAGAAGGUCCGGCCAACUACGUGCCAGCCGCGGCGGUAAUUC